Molecule: long non-coding RNA, 925 nt
Organism: Melitaea cinxia (Glanville fritillary)
Lineage: Eukaryota; Metazoa; Arthropoda; Insecta; Lepidoptera; Nymphalidae
Exons: 5
Source: RefSeq, a predicted model, not a curated record
UUAGUAGUCUGUUGUAACACUUGCUUAAUAUCAAUAUUAUUGGUCGUGACAGCAAAAAAACUAGUUUUUCGAGUUUGUCAUUGUAAUUUGCACAGUUCAAUGAUAAUAAUUAAUUUUUUUAUGUACAAAACCCCUUCCCUAAUUAAUGUUUAAUAACAUUCGGCUUUUAGCCUUCAAAUUUGAUGGAUCCCUGGGGUUGUGAAAUUGGAGACUCAACAGUUGUAUCAGAAUUCGAAGACGAUUUCAAGCCUGAGAAGAGUGAUAAAUUAGCCGAUUCGGCUGAAUAUCUUGCUAUACUGGAAAGGAAGCUCCUAGCUCUCAAAAAGAAGAAUAAAGUGGUUGAAAAUCUGGCAGCAUACAGAGCCGACUGUAUUGAUAGAUUGAUGAGAGAAGGUUGUGAUUUAGAUCCUGUGAUUGGCGAUACUGAAUCAGAGAAACUGCUGCAGGAGUGACUUGGUGAUAAAACCUAAUAAGUAUACAUUGACAUAAUCGUCAACAUUCCAGAUGUUUCUAAAAAUGGCGGGUAGGAAGAGUUUAUUCAUAUUUUUGAUGAACUUGGCCUGGAAAUGUCGAUUCAGCAUGCCGCUGCUGCUCAGCGGUACUGUUGCACUGCUGGGACAAGCUUGGAUGUUCCAGAUUAGAGUGCAUACUGUACAUAGGCUACGUGAAAAUGAGCUGGCAUAUUACAAUGAAAACGUUAUUGACGACGACGACGACGAUGACGACGAUUCCUGGGAAACGGAGUCCACGGAUUCAUGGGAAACCAUCGUAGAGGAGGUUGAAUUUGUUUGACAUUUACCACAGAUAACAUAUAUUGUUUAUAUCGGUUGAAUUAAAUUAACAAAAGUUUCUAUAGCAAUAAAACAUUGGAACAACUGAGAUAUUUAAAUUAGAUUGUAAUAAAAUGGAGACAAUUUGUGGCCAA